AGGGGCAUAGCUCAACUGGCAGAGCGUCGGUCUCCAAAACCGAAGGUUGGGCGAAGGUUGGGGGUUCGAUUCCCUCUGCCCCUGCCA
This 87-nucleotide transfer RNA is filed under the name Candidatus Accumulibacter appositus. RNAcentral describes it as "Candidatus Accumulibacter sp. BA-92 tRNA-Trp". It matches the Rfam family "tRNA". From Rfam's summary of the family: Transfer RNA (tRNA) molecules are approximately 80 nucleotides in length. Their secondary structure includes four short double-helical elements and three loops (D, anti-codon, and T loops). Further hydrogen bonds mediate the characteristic L-shaped molecular structure. tRNAs have two regions of fundamental functional importance: the anti-codon, which is responsible for specific mRNA codon recognition, and the 3' end, to which the tRNAs corresponding amino acid is attached (by aminoacyl-tRNA synthetases). tRNAs cope with the degeneracy of the genetic code in two manners: having more than one tRNA (with a specific anti-codon) for a particular amino acid; and 'wobble' base-pairing, i.e. permitting non-standard base-pairing at the 3rd anti-codon position. The record is from RNAcentral. Lineage: Bacteria; Pseudomonadati; Pseudomonadota; Betaproteobacteria.